This is a non-coding RNA of Cavia porcellus (domestic guinea pig), 318 nucleotides long. It matches the Rfam family "7SK RNA". Rfam says of the family: 7SK was discovered as an abundant small nuclear RNA in the mid-70s but a possible function has only recently been suggested. Two independent studies have found that 7SK RNA binds the CDK9/cyclin T complex (known as elongation factor P-TEFb). The record is from Rfam. Lineage: Eukaryota; Metazoa; Chordata; Mammalia; Rodentia; Caviidae.
GGAUGUGAGUGCAGUCUGGUUGCAACAUCUGUGAGUCCGCUGAUUGCCAGUAUUGAUUCUAGUGAUCUGGCUGGCUAGGAGAGUGUCCCCUUCAUCCCUCGCCACUCCAUAUGUGUCUCCCCUAAAGUUGCACUGUCAGUCAAGAGGAUGACCACCUCAAGAGAGGAAGACCAAUUCCUUGGUCAGGGUUACACAAGAAGUGGUACUCCCCUGCUAGAACCUUCAAACAAGCUUUGAAGAAUAUUAUAUUAUAUUAUAUUAUAUUAUAUUAUAUUAUAUUAUAUUAUAUAAAUUAUAUUAUAUGUCAUGUAUAUAUUU